CAGCAGCCGCGGUAAUACGUAGGUGGCAAGCGUUGUCCGGAAUUAUUGGGCGUAAAGGGCUCGCAGGCGGGUUUCUUAAGUCUGAUGUGAAAGCCCCCGGCUCAACCUGGGGAGGGUCAUUGGAAACUGGGGAACUUGAGUGCAGAAGAGGAGAGUGGAAUUCCACGUGUAGCGGUGAAAUGCGUAGAGAUGUGGAGGAACACCUAGUGGCGAAGGCGACUCUCUGGUCUGUAACUGACGCUGAGGAGCGAAAGCGUGGGGAGCGAACAGGAUUAGAUACCCUGGUAGUCCACGCCGUAAACGAUGAGUGCUAAGUGUUAGGGGGUUUCCGCCCCUUAGUGCUGCAGCUAACGCAUUAAGCACUCCGCCUGGGGAGUACGGUCGCAAGACUGAAACUCAAAGGAAUUGAGGG
RNAcentral lists this ribosomal RNA (412 nucleotides) under Bacillus subtilis. RNAcentral's name for it is "bacterial SSU rRNA". It matches the Rfam family "Bacterial small subunit ribosomal RNA", at positions 509 to 916 of the family's 1533-position model. The record is from RNAcentral. Lineage: Bacteria; Bacillati; Bacillota; Bacilli; Caryophanales; Bacillaceae.